This is a non-coding RNA of Pelobates cultripes (western spadefoot toad), 256 nucleotides long. The record is from the annotation of a GenBank genome assembly. NCBI's taxonomy places the organism in Eukaryota, Metazoa, Chordata, Amphibia, Anura, Pelobatidae.
CCUCCCACCAUCACAGAUGGACUGCUGGCAGUGGCCCGGCUCCCCCCAGGGUUCGAGAAUCAGGCGCAGGGGAUGAGAGGGAGAGAGCGUUAGAUUAGGAUGGGGGGGACAGAGCAGCAUUUGUUCAUAUUGACACUUUGUUUCCUGCUCCCAGAAUGUCACAUGAUUCACUGCUUCCUGGUCAGUGCUGGAACUACAUCUCCCAGCAGCCCUUGCACUGUGCAGAGGGGCGUGGUCAGAUUGUGCUGUGUUAGAC